CAACACAUACAAACUAAAACUAAAAAAGGCACAAAAAAAAAGACUGAUUAACGUCAUUGUGAGAAAGGAAAAAAUUUCAUCGCAGCGUGCAUCCUCACGCAUAUGCCGUCGGAUCUGUAUACUUCUCCCAUCUGCACGUUGACUCGAAGGUCCAUCCAGUAACAGGAUGAAACGCGUCGUAGUUUCGGUGCGCCUCACCACACACAAUCUAGCACCAAUAAAGAAGACGAGAUCCGCUACAUGCAGGAUCAUAAGCUCUGUUCGUGUGCCCUCCCUCCAGCCUAUCACGGUUAGCUAUGCGUCUAGGCGCAACAAGCCCCUGCCCUCGUCCAACCAAUUCUCGCCACCUGUCCAGAAUUUCCCAAGCAAGCCACACACG
RNAcentral lists this long non-coding RNA (379 nucleotides) under Lupinus angustifolius (narrow-leaved blue lupine). Its description in RNAcentral is "long non-coding RNA (LANG_LNC003286)". The record is from RNAcentral. Lineage: Eukaryota; Viridiplantae; Streptophyta; Magnoliopsida; Fabales; Fabaceae.